This 302-nucleotide unclassified non-coding RNA is filed under the name uncultured Sordariomycetes. Its description in RNAcentral is "sequence contains ITS1". The stretch from base 1 to 105 matches the Rfam family "5.8S ribosomal RNA", at positions 50 to 154 of the family's 154-position model. Lineage: Eukaryota; Fungi; Ascomycota; Sordariomycetes. The record is from RNAcentral.
GAAAUGCGAUACGUAGUGUGACUUGCAGAAUUCAGUGAGUCAUCGAAUCUUUGAACGCACAUUGCGCCCGCCAGCACUCUGGCGGGCAUGCCUGUUCGAGCGUCAUUUCAACCAUCAAGCCCCCGGGCUUGCGUUGGGGACCUGCGGCUGCCCGCAGGCCCUGAAAACCAGUGGCGGGCUCGCCGCCAGCCCGGUCGUAGCAGUAUCAUCUCGUCCAGAGCGUGGCUGCGGGCUCCGGCCGUUAAACCUUCUCAAACCCAAAGGUUGACCUCGGAUCAGGUAGGAGUACCCGCUGAACUUAA